Molecule: ribosomal RNA, 468 nt
Filed under: uncultured bacterium
Lineage: Bacteria
Description: partial 16S ribosomal RNA
Rfam family: Bacterial small subunit ribosomal RNA
Source: RNAcentral
GACGAACGCUGGCGGCGGGCUUAACACAUGCAAGUCGAACGGAAAGGCCCUGCUUUUGUGGGGUGCUCGAGUGGCGAACGGGUGAGUAACACGUGAGUAACCUGGCCUUGGCUUUGGGAUAACUUCAGGAAACUGGGGCUAAUACCGGAUAGGAGCUCCUGCUGCAUGGUGGGGGUUGGAAAGUUUCGGCGGUUGGGGAUGGACUCGCGGCUUAUCAGCUUGUUGGUGGGGUAGUGGCUUACCAAGGCUUUGACGGGUAGCCGGCCUGGGAGGGUGACCGGCCACAUUGGGACUGAGAUACGGACCAGACUGCUACGGGAGGCAGCAGUGGGGAAUAUUGCACAAUGGGCGGACGCCUGAUGAAGAAACGCCGCGUGCGGGAUGACGGCCUUCGGGUUGUAAACCGCUUUAGCCUGUGACGAAGCGUGAGUGACGGUAAUGGGUAAAGAAGCACCGGCUAACUACGUG